This 253-nucleotide ribosomal RNA is filed under the name uncultured prokaryote. RNAcentral's name for it is "partial 16S ribosomal RNA". It matches the Rfam family "Bacterial small subunit ribosomal RNA", at positions 524 to 776 of the family's 1533-position model. The record is from RNAcentral.
GACAGAGGGUGCAAGCGUUAAUCGGAAUUAUUGGGCGUAAAGGGUUCGUAGGUGGCUGAUUAAGUCGAAUGUGAAAUCCCCGGGCUUAACCUGGGUAGGUCAUUCGAUACUGGUCGGCUAGAGUUGGGUAGAGGAAAGUAGAAUUUCCGGUGUAGCGGUGAAAUGCGUAGAUAUCGGAAGGAAUACCAGUGGCGAAGGCGGCUUUCUGGACCCAAACUGACACUGAGGAACGAAAGCGUGGGGAGCAAACAGG